RNAcentral lists this ribosomal RNA (425 nucleotides) under uncultured bacterium. RNAcentral's name for it is "partial 16S ribosomal RNA". It matches the Rfam family "Bacterial small subunit ribosomal RNA", at positions 355 to 772 of the family's 1533-position model. The record is from RNAcentral.
UAGGGAAUCUUCCACAAUGGACGCAAGUCUGACGGAGCAACGCCGCGUGAGUGAAGAAGGCUUUCGGGUCGUAAAACUCUGUUAUUGAAGAAGAACGUGUGUGACAGUAACUGGUCAUGCAGUGACGGUAUUCAAUCAGAAAGUCACGGCUAACUACGUGCCAGCAGCCGCGGUAAUACGUAGGUGGCAAGCGUUGUCCGGAUUUAUUGGGCGUAAAGCGAGUGCAGGCGGUCUUUUAAGUCUGAUGUGAAAGCCUUCGGCUUAACCGAAGAAGGGCAUCGGAAACUGGGAGACUUGAGUGCAGAAGAGGAGAGUGGAACUCCAUGUGUAGCGGUGAAAUGCGUAGAUAUAUGGAAGAACACCAGUGGCGAAGGCGGCUCUCUGGUCUGUAACUGACACUGAGGCUCGAAAGCGUGGGUAGCAAA